AAUCCAUAGGUUAAUGAGGCGAACCGGGGGAACUGAAACAUCUAAGUACCCCGAGGAAAAGAAAUCAACCGAGAUUCCCCCAGUAGCGGCGAGCGAACGGGGAGGAGCCCAGAGCCUGAAUCAGCAUGUGUGUUAGUGGAAGCGUCUGGAAAGGCGCGCGAUACAGGGUGACAGCCCCGUACACAAAAGCGCAUGUGCUGUGAGCUCGAUGAGUAGGGCGGGACACGUGGUAUCCUGUCUGAAUAUGGGGGGACCAUCCUCCAAGGCUAAAUACUCCUGACUGACCGAUAGUGAACCAGUACCGUGAGGGAAAGGCGAAAAGAACCCCGGCGAGGGGAGUGAAAAAGAACCUGAAACCGUGUACGUACAAGCAGUGGGAGCACAGGUUUACCUGUGUGACUGCGUACCUUUUGUAUAAUGGGUCAGCGACUUAUAUUCUGUAGCAAGGUUAACCGAAUAGGGGAGCCGGAGGGAAACCGAGUCUUAAUUGGGCGUUAAGUUGCAGGGUAUAGACCCGAAACCCGGUGAUCUAGCCAUGGGCAGGUUGAAGGUUGGGUAACACUAACUGGAGGACCGAACCGACUAAUGUUGAAAAAUUAGCGGAUGACCUGUGGCUGGGGGUGAAAGGCCAAUCAAACCGGGAGAUAGCUGGUUCUCCCCGAAAGCUAUUUAGGUAGCGCCUCGUGAAUUCAUCUCCGGGGGUAGAGCACUGUUUCGGCUAGGGGGCCAUCCCGGCUUACCAACCCGAUGCAAACUGCGAAUACCGGAGAAUGUUAUCACGGGAGACACACGGCGGGUGCUAACGUCCGUCGUGAAGAGGGAAACAACCCAGACCGCCAGCUAAGGUCCCAAAGUCAUGGUUAAGUGGGAAACGAUGUGGGAAGGCCCAGACAGCCAGGAUGUUGGCUUAGAAGCAGCCAUCAUUUAAAGAAAGCGUAAUAGCUCACUGGUCGAGUCGGCCUGCGCGGAAGAUGUAACGGGGCUAAACCAUGCACCGAAGCUGCGGCAGCGAACGUAUCACUUAAAGCGAUUCAGCGGGUUACGAUUGACGGAGCGAAGCGACGUCAAAGCGUAUACAAAGUCGAGUCGGUUUAAGGAUACGUUCGUUGGGUAGGGGAGCGUUCUGUAAGCCUGUGAAGGUGUGUCGUGAGGCAUGCUGGAGGUAUCAGAAGUGCGAAUGCUGACAUAAGUAACGAUAAAGCGGGUGAAAAGCCCGCUCGCCGGAAGACCAAGGGUUCCUGUCCAACGUUAAUCGGGGCAGGGUGAGUCGACCCCUAAGGCGAGGCCGAAAGGCGUAGUCGAUGGGAAACGGGUUAAUAUUCCCGUACUUGGUGUUACUGCGAAGGGGGGACGGAGAAGGCUAUGUUGGCCGGGCGACGGUUGUCCCGGUUUAAGCGUGUAGGUGUGUGUUCCAGGUAAAUCCGGUU
Molecule: ribosomal RNA, 1427 nt
Filed under: Salmonella enterica subsp. enterica serovar Infantis
Lineage: Bacteria; Pseudomonadati; Pseudomonadota; Gammaproteobacteria; Enterobacterales; Enterobacteriaceae
Description: partial 23S ribosomal RNA
Rfam family: Bacterial large subunit ribosomal RNA
Source: RNAcentral